GUGAGGAAUUUUCCGCAAUGGGCGAAAGCCUGACGGAGCAAUGCCGCGUGAAGGAUGAAGGCCUAUGGGUUGUAAACUUCUUUUCUCAGAAAAGAAUUAUGACGGUAUCUGAGGAAUAAGCAUCGGCUAACUCUGUGCCAGCAGCCGCGGUAAGACAGAGGAUGCAAGCGUUAUCCGGAAUGAUUGGGCGUAAAGCGUCUGUAGGUUGUUUAAAAAGUAUUGUGUCAAAGAUUAGGGCUUAACCCUAGAUAGGCAGAAUAAACUUUUAAGCUAGAGUUUGGUAGAGGCAGAGGGAAUUCCCGGUGGAGCGGUGAAAUGCGUAGAUAUCGGGAGGAACACCAAAGGCGAAGGCACUCUGCUGGGCCAAUACUAACACUGAGAGACGAAAGCGAGGGGAGCAAAUGGGAUUAGAAACCCCGGUAGUCC
Molecule: ribosomal RNA, 426 nt
Filed under: uncultured bacterium
Lineage: Bacteria
Description: partial 16S ribosomal RNA
Rfam family: Bacterial small subunit ribosomal RNA
Source: RNAcentral